UACGAGUGCCCCGAGCGUUAUCCGGAAUCAUUGGGCGUAAAGGGUGUGUAGGUGGUUUGUUAAGUCUGAUGUGAAAGCCCUGGGCUCAACCUGGGAAUUGCAUUGGAUACUGGCAGGCUAGAGUGCGGUAGAGGGUAGUGGAAUUCCCGGUGUAGCAGUGAAAUGCGUAGAUAUCUGGAGGAAUACCGGUGGCGAAGGCGGCAUCCUGGACCGGCAUUGACGCUGAGGAGCGAAAGCCAGGGGAGCAAACGGG
Molecule: ribosomal RNA, 253 nt
Filed under: uncultured bacterium
Lineage: Bacteria
Description: partial 16S ribosomal RNA
Rfam family: Bacterial small subunit ribosomal RNA
Source: RNAcentral